GAUGAAGAACGCAGCGAAAUGCGAUAAGUAAUGUGAAUUGCAGAAUUCAGUGAAUCAUCGAAUCUUUGAACGCACCUUGCGCCCUUUGGCCAUUCCGAAGGGCGUGCCUGUUUGAGUAUCAUGAACACCUCAACUCUUUAUGGUUUUCCAUGAUGAGCUUGGACUCUGGGGGUUUUGCUGGCUCACAGUCGGCUCCUCUAAAAUGAAUCAGCUUACCAGUGUUUGGUGGGUAUCAUGGGUGUGAUAACUAUCUACGCUUGUGGUUUUUCCACCAGGUAACCUUCAGCAGUGGAGGUUCGCUGGAGCUCAUAGAUGUCUCUCCUCAGUGAGGACAGCCCUUUGAAUGUUUGACCUCAAAUCAGGUAGGACUACCCGCUGAACUUAAGCAUAUCAAUAAGCGGAGGA
RNAcentral lists this unclassified non-coding RNA (405 nucleotides) under soil metagenome. Its description in RNAcentral is "partial contains 5.8S ribosomal RNA, internal transcribed spacer 2, and large subunit ribosomal RNA". The stretch from base 1 to 121 matches the Rfam family "5.8S ribosomal RNA", at positions 35 to 154 of the family's 154-position model. The record is from RNAcentral.